RNAcentral lists this small nuclear RNA (101 nucleotides) under Catagonus wagneri (Chacoan peccary). RNAcentral describes it as "U2 spliceosomal RNA (ENSCWAG00000005013.1)". It matches the Rfam family "U2 spliceosomal RNA". Rfam says of the family: U2 is a small nuclear RNA (snRNA) component of the spliceosome (involved in pre-mRNA splicing). Complementary binding between U2 snRNA (in an area lying towards the 5' end but 3' to hairpin I) and the branchpoint sequence (BPS) of the intron results the bulging out of an unpaired adenosine, on the BPS, which initiates a nucleophilic attack at the intronic 5' splice site, thus starting the first of two transesterification reactions that mediate splicing. The record is from Rfam by way of RNAcentral. Lineage: Eukaryota; Metazoa; Chordata; Mammalia; Artiodactyla; Tayassuidae.
AUCGCUUCUCAGCCUUUUGGCUAAGAUCAAGUGUAGUAUCUGUUCUUAUAUAUAUAUAUAUAUUUUUUGUCUUUUUGCUUUUAUCUAGAGCCGCACCCGUG